Molecule: non-coding RNA, 264 nt
Organism: Vicia faba (fava bean)
Lineage: Eukaryota; Viridiplantae; Streptophyta; Magnoliopsida; Fabales; Fabaceae
Source: the annotation of a GenBank genome assembly
AUGGAGAUGGUAAAAAACAAGGUGGCUUCAAAAGAGAAGAGCACUAGUAGUAGUAGUAGUAAUGGACGCAUGAUUAGGUACUCGGUUUUGAUUUUAACUCUUUUGGCUUUGUUCAUUUUGAUUCUACCUUUGGUGAUGCCUCCUUUGCCACCACCACCUUUGAUGCUUCUCUUUGUUCCUGUUUUCAUUUUGUUGCUUCUCUUUUUCAUUGCCUUUUCAUCUUCUUCUAAUAAAGUUCCAAAUAUGAGUUCUUUUGUUUCUUGA